RNAcentral lists this small nuclear RNA (298 nucleotides) under Jaculus jaculus (lesser Egyptian jerboa). Its description in RNAcentral is "7SK RNA (ENSJJAG00000005104.1)". It matches the Rfam family "7SK RNA". From Rfam's summary of the family: 7SK was discovered as an abundant small nuclear RNA in the mid-70s but a possible function has only recently been suggested. Lineage: Eukaryota; Metazoa; Chordata; Mammalia; Rodentia; Dipodidae. The record is from Rfam by way of RNAcentral.
AGAGGUAAGGGUGAUCUGGCUGUGACAGUGUUGAUUUGGCUGCCCUGGCUGGUGAGGCAGCUGUCCCCUUCCUCCUUCACAGCUCCAUGUGCGUCUCUGCAGAAGCUGCGCGCUAGAUGGAAGAGGGUGACCUUCUUGGAAAAUAGGACAGGUCUUCUGUCAAGUGUAUUCAGUAGCUGCCAUCCCCUGCUAGAAUCUCCAGACAAGCUCUCAAACUAAUUCUGAAGUGGGAUUUAGGGAAAUACUGGAAUCCUUCCCAGACAACUUUUGUAUGGUUUGCCACUACCUACAGCAUCAU